AUGAGACAUCGUGGUGGGAUUCGGGUGCUUGGGCACGCUUGGAGACACGGGCCUGCAGCUCCCCUUCGAAGACUUGCAGAUAGCCCCACCUCUACUUUUGGGGAGCUGCUGAUUUGUAGCAAUAUCAGCUGCCUAAUCCUGAUGCCUGGCAAGACUGCUUCUUCAAAACUGUGGUUGAGACUUCAUUUUAAUAAUCAGAGCAAUCUGAAUGUGUACUUGUUUCUGCCCGAGGCAUAAAAGUUUGCAUUUUGAUAACAUUUGCACAUUAUAGAAAACGCACCUGUGACAAUGAACUCCGCUAAAGCCCUGCCUUCACACCCCAAAAGAAAAAUAACCGAACAGGUAAUUUAUUAUUAAAAGUCGAACCUAACACACAGAAGUAUAGAUGUUCAGAGUUAAUACAGCUUUUUUUCCUCGCUUACCUCAUCAUGGUUGUUUAUGGAUUACAGCAUCUGCUGUAGAUUAUGUAAGAUCUGUUGCAAAAGCUUGCUGCAUCUGAUGAAUAAGGGCAAAGUCUGAGUUUAAUUUUGAAUUUUCAGAGUUUAGUGAAUUCUGCUGUAACCUCCUCCAUCAUCUUAUUGCUUCAGCAGGUACAAUUGCAAAUGGUGUCUUUCUAUGAUUAAUGGCAAAACUACUGCCUCUUAGUGCCUUGAGGUUGUAACCCUAUGUGUUAGGAGCUGUGCAAAUGUAAUCAAAGGACGUUCCUUAUGCCAGAGUCCUAAAAUGAAAAUACUAGUUCAAAGAAAAUUAUCCUUUUGAAGGGAUGAAUUGCUACGCUACAUCAUUAGAAAUGACAUUGGCUUUUUAUGAGAUGUUAAAGUCAUUUAAAUUAGAAGAAUGGUCUUCAGAAUCCAAAUUCUAUCCUUAGCUCAAUUUUUAAUAUUCAAACUACACCCAUAUCCAUUUUGAAAUCACACAAACCAGUCAGCAAUCAGAAAGCUUAAUCCCGUUCAAUUUAUCCAGAUGAGUGGUCUCACUGGGGUUAGCUGAACCGNNNNNNNNNNNNNNNCAUGGUUACUUACUUCUUGCUUAGGUAAUGUUAAAUCAUUUGAUGAAAUCUUCAAAGGCCACCAACAAGACAAAUUAACAGAGACUGAGAAAUAUCCAGCUAUGCUCUGCAAUUAGAUGUACAAAAGACAAAUUCCAAAGGAGAAAAAUGAAAACAAGAGAUCUCUUUUAGCAUGAGGAGCUUACCAUUUUUAGUAUCAGAGUGAAAUCAGAAUAAUACAACUAGAUUAUUCUAAUUAAUUAGGCCAAUAUUUUAAAAGACUGUACAGGCAAAUUGCUUUCAGGAAGUAAUUGGAUUCUGCACAAGAAUUAAAUAUUUUGCAUGCAGAGCUUGCAAAUGUACAAUUUUCCUGAAGAAAAAUGAAUGUAUACUCAUUUAAUUACAUAAUGCAUCCUAUGACAUAUGUGGGAAUAUAUAAAGCAACAGAAUAAAGGACAAAUGAACAACUCA
This 1459-nucleotide long non-coding RNA is filed under the name Struthio camelus australis. RNAcentral's name for it is "lncRNA (ENSSCUG00000010738.1)". Lineage: Eukaryota; Metazoa; Chordata; Aves; Struthioniformes; Struthionidae. The record is from RNAcentral.